GGCGAGACACUUUAAUUUUUUUAAAUCACCAGUCAAAGUGAUAUUCAUUUAAAAUACUAAAAGUAUUUUACUUUGGGCAAUUUAUUAAGUGUUUAUGGGGCAAAAAACAAUCUAAAAAUUCUUGCAAGUUUACUUUUUGGGCCAAUAAAAACGUUAGGAUUAUAUUUUUUAAGGGGUGGGGGGAGGGAAUUCUUUUCUUUUUUUUCUUAUUCUUGUAAACAUACGACCAGCUUAUCUGUAUAACAAGAAAUAAAAUUGGUCUGCCUAUUGAAAUAAUAUCAGAGUGUGUUGUAAUAUGUCACCGACACAUAUCAAGAUAUACUCAAUACUAAGAUCAUAUCCAGUUGAAAAGUGAAAAAGCAUAUCUCAACCCCUUCAAAAACUGUUUGGCUUGUCUGAGAUCUUCAGUAGCAACAGCUGUGUGGUUCCACCAUGACUUACAUGUAUUAUACAUCUCCACAUGGAAGAAUUGGCAGCUCCCAGCCUCCACAGACAGGAGGCCCUCGCAUGUGUAGAGCUUCGUCAGUGUUAUGUCCGAGUAUACACAACAAGGGACACUCUCAAAAUCACAAACAUAUUUUGAAGACUGUCACAUGUUAAACUACCCUUUGCUAUUUAGUAUUUUAUUCGUUGAAAGACGUCAACAAGGUCAAGCAUAUUCUUCACCCUGACUUAUUGUCUGUUGUCUGUGAAGUAUUAAUAACCCAGCCCCAGCCAUGAUCAGGUGAUUGUGUUGGGGAACUGUCCUGCUUCUAAUAUCAGUCUUCAAAAUCAGUUACUCUUAACUUAUCUUCAAUAUGUUGCCCUUCUGUCUGAAACACUAAUAAUGAAAUCUGCAGUCUUCUUUACUGGUUGAACAUAUUUAACCAACUGUUAUUUUCAUGUGCUUUAUAGAUAAAACAUUGAGAACUAGAUGCAGUGAGAUGGAAUUCUGCUUGUUUCCGAGACGAUAUCUGUAGAAAAUAGGAACAUGCCACCUGUAACAUGGCAGAUACUAACUUUGAUUUGUAGGAAGUUGUUUUAUUGUUUUAAAUAUUGUUGUAUACGUAUGUUAUAUAUACCUGAACGUGAACCUUUACACCUGGAUGUGAAUGUGUAAAUGUGUCUGUAGCAGAUGUUUUGGAAGGGUAGUCCUGUCUCCUAUCUGUGCAUCAUUUGUGCUGAGGCAGCAGAAACAUCUCUUCAACCCAGGGGAGGACCAUCAGUAGUGUUUGAAGGUGUUUUACAUGCUUUGCCCAGUAUCCCACAGCAGUGGUCAGAUCUGUCAUUUCAUAUAAAGGUCACAAUAGGCUGUUUGUUCUUCAAUAUUGCAAUAUAACCAAAAUGGUAUGACUUUCUAAACUGUUCUGUGCAUGGCAAAGAACAAAUCUAUCAGUGUUAAUGAGAAUUAAGUACAAGUUUUUUUAUCAUGGGCUUUUUGUGGCCUUAAUUUUUUUCAAAUAAGACAAAAAUUGUGAUUGAGAAAAUUAUUUUGUUGUAUCACUGGUCAGAGGGUCAUUUCAUUCAGCAACCAGUCUGUUGUAUUUACACAAACACAUAUCAUAUUUCCUAAUGAGUUUUGAGCGACAUUGAUUGAGGUAUUUCCGUAACCUUAUAUGAGUACACCACCUGAUCAGUGGGAACUGUGAGUCAGGCUCCUAUAUCAAUAGUUGGUUAAUAUAGGAACCGCUGACUCAGCGACCUACUGACUCCCUCCCCAUGUGAUCAACAGCUAGAUACAGCUGUCAUUAUCAUUUUGCUACUACAUUCCAUGUAACCUGUUUUGUUUGAGAGAGUGAAUAAGAAUAUAUUUAUCAUGCACUUUGAAAAUGCAAAUUAUGUACCAUAUUCUCCUAUGUGUGAUAUUAGAUGAUAAUUAUGGAUGUAAUACUUAGUUUUGUGAAUUUUAUUUUGUGAUUAUUGUUUGAGGAGUUUUGACAAUAUUAUUCAUGUAACAUCGUGCCAUCUGUUUAUGACUGAAUGCAGUAGAUAUGUGAAUAUGCUAGCUUUUGUAGAGUGAUUGAUUGUCAUUUUCAAUUGUCUCAGGUUGUUAGACUCAAGACUGUUAUGAAGGCACUGCUUGUCUGAGUUGAUAGGCUGAGUGUCUGCAAUGGUGAGACUCAAGUUACAGGUGGAACAUGUGGACACCUUGCUCUCUAGGAAGAGGAUAGUGUUAUAAUGCACUGAACAUUUUAAACUAAAGUUCCUUGUUUUUUUUUAUUAAAAUUGUUUGAUUUUAUUACAAAGUGUUUAAACAAAUUCUGCUCAACUCACUUAUGACUGCCUGCUAUCUGUAGAGACUACUUGCUGAGUUGAGGACUGAUUGCUUCAGUUAUCAUCUUCUCUCUGGAACAGUUCCUUACAUUGUGCCUGUCAACUGUUUUCUUUCCCGGGACAUUUAGGUAACACGGUUGUUUCUCACUUUAGAGGGUUACUAUAGUACAAAGUAUAGUGGGUCUUGUAAUCUGAUUCUCAUUCUGGCUCUCGAGCACAGUCCCUGCUUAUAAGAUGGAAGAUCAAAGUUGUCAGAAAUAUGGAUGGUUUUUGUUCGAGAUAUUGAAGAUACUGGUCUGUGAACAAGUCUCACAAGCACCAAAGAAAAACAAGUUGGUUAGGACUCUGGAUGCUGGUGGUCACACAAGCAUUGGAAACUGGUUUGUGUGACUGAGAUUUUCCAGACAUGCUGACCUGGGAGAUUCUGUGAGCACAUGUCCAUCUGUGACCAGAGGUCACUAAAACCAUUGCUGUUGGAUAUGCUGAAAUAAACAACCAAAGGCCCACCAUAUUUCAUGCUAAGUGGAACUCUGAUCUUCCCCUUUACAAGCACCAAAAAGGAUGUGAUAUUGCCUCUGCUUCUCACAAUAGACAGUCCUUGUUAGUUAUCACACCAACAUUUUAUCAGUCUUAGGUUGCUUCUCCCUGAUAAUCCAGACAGACAUGUAUAUUUGAUCAUGUGUAAGUCGUGUGUUGUAAAUGUUGCUUCCAUUGUGGGAACUUAAUCAAAAGGACUUGAAGGCAUUCAUCUCACAACCCCAGGUGUCAAAACCGUUAUUUGUUGUUAAAGCAGUGUAACCUAGGACUCAUGUAUAUACCCAGCUGAAACUGCUUGGUCCACUUGUUACACAAGCUACACGUGAAAGACGUUUGUUACAGCUGUCUGCAGGAUGGGCCCAGUCAUCUGUUAUAGAUGGUGGGUGGGAGGGGAAGGCUAGUCUGGCAGUCACACUUGUGCAUGGAUGGACAUCAUGAGCUACAGCUGUCUGCAGGAUGGGCCCAGUCACCUGUUAUAGAUGGUGGGUGGGAGGGGAAGGCUAGUCUGGCAGUCACACUUGUGCAUGGAUGGACAUCAUGAGCUACAGCUGAGAUACAUUACCACACACACUUCAGUCUGUCAAAUAAGGAACUACAGAUUAUGGUCGAGUUAAUGGGUAUACUUAAACAGGUAUGUUUUGAAAAACAGAUUAUUAGGUGAGUGUGUGUCUGGGUAAUAAAUUUCGUAUUUUGAAUAUGUUAUAUGAAGUGACGGAAAGGAAACUACCCCAUUUAUUAUACAGUGUCAAAUAUUUUGCGUUGAAAAGCACUUCCUCAUUUGGAAUCCUAAACAUCUUUGACAUUGUAAAAAUUGUAUAUUAAACAUGUAGGUAUUACAUGAUGAUGGUACCAAGUUUACAUAUAGUAGAUUUAUUUUGGAUACCAUUGUCCAUUAUCUGCUAACUUCCCACCUCCAUAGUACAUGACUGGUCUCUGUCAGGUAAACCUGUGCAGGUGAGGGUACUGUUGAUUGACACUGUACCACACUUGAAAGUAGACUUCACACUGGUUGCACAGCAGUCUUCUAAGACAUUUUCAAGAUGGCAGCGCAAUAUGGUUUAAACUUAUACUAGACUUGAGGUAUGAAACAAUUUGUUCUCUGGCUGUGACUUGAAGAAAUCUGAGCAGAUGGGCUGUUAUUUUUAUAGUACAAAUUGGGUAUCGGCAGGGCAGUUGAGAUGACACGUAUCAUAGUACUCUUGUGUCUUUAUCCCGCAAAUUUCUUUUACAUGUAAUCACACUGUUCAUGCAGGACGACUAGUGCUUGAUAGUAACUUAGUAAUGGGUAGAGUUACAACUUGUUCUUCUUUAAAUAAUUUAGCAAAGAAAAGAGGGGAGUCUGAAUGAAAUAGGUGACUUGUGAUGGUAUGUACAGAAAUACAUCCAUGGAGAAUGCUUUUAGAUUUGGUGGUGCUGCCCAGCUGGUAGGAGACAGCACCUGUCGUAACAUAGGGCUUUACCUAGGAUAGAGGACACUAGCCUUGCCCACCGUGUAGGGAACACUUUCAACUCUUUCUCUACUGCAGAACCAGGGCAGUGUCACAGUUACUGUAUGUUAAUGACGACUUUUACUUAUGCAAGUUACAUCUAAUCUGUGCCUGAUGUUUUUCAUGGGACCAACUUUCACAAGAACAAAACAAGGAAUAAGGAAACUUGGAAACAUUAGGAUGUUUUAGAAAGACGUUUUCUUUGUUCAAUUGAACUGUGGAGAUUCAUAAGAUGUGUUCUUUAAGGAUUCUUAUGCAAUCAUGCAUAGACAGACAUUGGGCUAGAAAGCAUUGCUCCCCACCUUGGUUCUGUGGACCACAUAUAUACAAUGUGUUGAUGUGCAUCCAUCAGUACAUCCAAUGUGAUAACUGUUGCCAUUCACGUAUAUUCCCUGUAUGAAACUUUCAAUAUAGUGAUAUGGUUGAUAUAGUGCAUUUUGUAGUUCUUGUAGUGGAUUUUAGAAACUUUUUUCUUUGACAGACACCUCUAAUGAAUGUGUGAAUUACAGGUGACAUUUACAAGUUGUGCAGGUUUUUACAAGAAGGCUUCAUACCUUGUCUUGCUGGCCCAUGUGGUAAGAGGUAAUCCAGGUCCUCGCCUCCUAGCUUUUGAAAUGAUAUUUAAUUUUACACUUUCAGCUUCAGAAUGGAGCCAAGGUGAUUUAAGUUUCUGUCAGAACAGCCAUUAUUUACAUGCAAAAACAUUCAGUGUCAAUUUCCAGACAUGUUCAGGUUCAUACAUCGAGAGGUUGUGGAUAUGCUUCUUAAAUUAAAUAUAUUAUUAAAGAUGACACUGACUUUCUGUACCGAGUGCAAGCACCUGAUAGAGGACCAACAUCUAGAAGCCAAACUGAUCAAGUUUGUUAACAUCAUAUUUUGUGAUCUUGAUUAUGAUUUCAGAUAGUUUCAAGGACUUUCCACUUUAACAUGCAAUUAUUGACCAAAGGUCAGCUGUUCAAUACAAAACAAGGACCAGACAUCUGACCUGCAGAUACAUUCAGUUAUCCCUUAGUUUUGCAGAGUUCACUGGUCCAACAAUUUAUUUUAGAUAAAGCUAUUUUUUGUAGCUCUGAUACUUCAGUUGCAUAAAUGUUUUGAUGAUAUAUAUUUCUUACCAAGUACAUCCUUCACAGAGAAUGAUUGCGGACUAUUUAGGCUGCAAGUUUGAAUUCAUUUUCAAAAUGUAUGUGAUUGGUCCAUUCAUGUUCAUUUUAUAAAAGAUGUGUUUCUACAAACCAUUAGAGAGGACCAGAGCAUGAGGAUACAGAAGUAGUAACUGAACCUUGAAUACUUGGUGAGAAGAAUAUAAUAUUUCCUUGUCUCAAAUGUGUCUUUCACUCCGUAAUUACAACAUUCUCACAUCAGAGGUAUUUAUUUACAAAUGUCUAUAUUGUCUGUAAAAUAUGGUAGCAUGAAAAAAAAUAAAAUAAAAAAUGAUUGAUGAA
Molecule: long non-coding RNA, 5722 nt
Filed under: Haliotis rubra (blacklip abalone)
Lineage: Eukaryota; Metazoa; Mollusca; Gastropoda; Lepetellida; Haliotidae
Description: uncharacterized LOC124259736
Source: RNAcentral